ACCAGCCUAGAGAUAGAGUGAGACUCCGUCUCAAAAAAAAAAAAAAAAAAAAAAAUUACAGGACCCAUCUCUUUGAGUAACUGUAUUAAAUGUGAAUGCAGCACCUAGCCACAUUACUAUGCACAUAGAAAGUAUUCAAUAAUGUUUACUGCUAUUAAUAUUAAUAUUUCCUUCAUAAAUUUAUUAAUAUUCAUUUUCUCCCAUCUUAACCCUUCUGGGCCCCUCAAUCCACUGGACCUGCCUUCAGCCUCCUGCCUCUUUACUGCCUUCAUUCGCACUUCUUUGAGUCAGGUUGGCAAACCCCUUCAUAAUCCGCCCAAUCUAGUUUUCCAGCCCCCAAUACUCUCCUGACCUAUAAAUUCGCUUUCUGCAUUGGCCACAAUGAACUCCUCCCAGGUGGCAGCUCUUUGGAUCUCUCUAUCCUUCCUUUCUUUGUGCUCUUUUCCUGGAAUGUCCUUCUCUUGUCAUCCUACCCAAGACAAUCAGUUUCUCCCUCUAUCGCUCCUUGAAUUCGCCUCUGAUAUUGCACUUGUGUCUGCAUAUUGACAGGUUUAUGGAAGACACUUCCUAGCCAUCUUGUGAGCUCCUUGAAGGAACUGUGUCUUUAUCUGUAUAGCCCCACCUAGCAGAUGCUCAAGGCAUGCUUGUGGAAUGAAUAAGGGAACAGAUCAUUUCUUCUGAGCUGUUUGCAGUCUGGCUAAGCCAAUUGAAAGAAUGCCUUCUCUUGCAAUCUACAAAUUGAAAAGCCUGUGAGACCCUCAGGACACUCAGUUCUGUCCUACUGGUGGCGGAGUGGGACUCCUUCAUGAUGUGGCACAGUUUCCUUGAGUUUUAGGAAGAAACGGCCCAUGUGGCAGAUUCAGAAACAAUGAAUCAGCACCUAAACAAACAGGAAGAUUUGGCACAAAAAAGUUUGCUUCGGGCAACCAUUGCCAGCUCUAUCCAGACCUCCAAGGAAUGAAAAAACUGAAGAUCAGAGAGGUUGUAUAACUUGCCUAAGGUCAUAAAACUACUUAAUGAUGAAAAUUUAAAACCAAGUCUGUCUGACUCUGUAGCCAUGGUUCUCACUGUCUGGUCCCUGGACCAGCUGUAUCAGCACCUCCUGGGAACUCAUCAGAGACCUAAUGAGUCAGAAAUUUGGGGGGUCAGGUGGAGCCAUCUGUGUCCUGGCAAGCCUCAAGGUGAUUCUACUGGACACUCCCAACCAAGAACCACUGUUCCAGCACGUUCCCUUCAUCUCCACGCCAUGCUGCGUCUCCAACUUCCUGCUCUCCAAAGGCAAAACUCACCAUGAGGGAAUCAUCCAGAAAUAAAGUUGAUUUUCACUUCUCCCUGCAGAUGCUCCCAGGGAGUUAAAGGUGACUCUUCACUCCAGACUCUAAAUUUGACCCCCUUUCAGGCGGCCACCCCAGGUUCAUUAUCACACCAAUCAGCCAACUGUUUUGAGUAGAAAUCUCCUUUCCCACCCUGUAAGGAAUUCCAGGACACCGUCUAUGAAGAGGGAAAUCAUAACUUGGCUAUUUGUUCAGGACACCCCUACCCUCUUCCAGACCAGCAGCUCAUUGAGACACCUGCCCUCGAGAUACCACUUGACUACUGCCGCCAGUCGACAAUUAUUGAUCAAGUACUGUGUCAGGUCCUCUGCUAGGCCGUUUGAGACAUGUUAUCUCAAUUAAUCCUUACAACAACCCAAGAGGUAGACAUGAUUAUUAGCCCAUUUCAAAAACAAGAAAACUGAGGCACAGAUUAUUUGCCUAACUUCACUAGCUAAUAAAUUACUGAGAUGAGACUUAAACUCAGUUUGUCUCAAGAACCCCAUGGUCUUAUCCAGUAUGCCCUAUUGCCUGUUACGGGCCUUUGUCAAACAAGUCUUCUCUCUUGGUGCACUCCAGGCCAACUUUCUGUGUUCCAGCUUGAGAGUCCUCUUUGCAGCCAUGUGAAUCCAGUGUCUUCCUCUCGUUAAUCCUCUAGGACACCUCUGCCCAGCUUUCUUCCAUCCCCCCGCACCUGGCCAUUUCCCUCUGGAGCUGUUUCCUACUAGCUGGGCUCUCACCUCCCAGACACUUUUCCUUCCUUUAGACCAGCUUCAUCUCCUCUAUGUGCUGCUCAGCAUGGAAUAAAUUCUAUCUUUUUCCAAUUCCCAAUUUCUAAGGCAGGUUUUUUUUUUUUUUUAAUCUUACCAUCUCUGCUUUGACCAGACACUUGGUACAACUUCAAACAUUGUCGCCUGUGGUUUGGCUGCCUAACAAGGAGCUCUUGGCCCGCUUCGAAGCCAGCCUUCUUGAAGCCUGCCCUCACAUUUAGCGCCCUUAAUAUAGACUCUGUCUACCACAGAUCAGCGUGUACUGAGAAGAUAGAUCGGAAUCAGGGAGGAGGCUAUUUCAUUGCCUGGUGGUGGAACCAAUACUCAGUCUGGUGAUAUAAACUGAAAAAUGCAAAAGUGGGGAAGGCAAGGUGAAGAGCGAAGGCAGCUUCUCAGACUUGGCUCGUGAGUUCAUAGUAAGGCAUCUCCAACAAGAGUCUUGCAGCGGCCUCCUGGAGGGUCCCUUCCAUCCACAGUGAUUGGGGCACAGGCUGGCUCAACCAUAAAGGCAAACAGGAAACUCUGCCAGCAAAGGAAAAAGGAAGCUCUCAGAUUCCUGUUCCAAGCAGCCUUCUGGGAAGGACUUUAUCUUGGGGGAAAGUUUUACUAAAGGAAAUUUGACCUGAAGUUGCAAGUUUCCUUUGUUGAGAAAAGCAAAUAACAUGAAAGGGGAGAAAAGCAACAAGAUGAAAGAUUGGUCAUCACAGAUGCAGAUCUAAUCUCUGCCAUAAUAUAAACUGGAAGAACCUAGAACCCUGGGAGGUGAGAGUGGCAGGCGGUGGGGGGGUGACAUGAGCAGAAACAACAGACAAGACGAGGCUGACCUCCCACAGGGGCAGCGAGGGCCCUGGCUGACCAGAGAACAGGACGAAAUAAGGCUUUCCAGGGCAGGUUAGAGUCCUUUAGUAUCAGGAUGCAGUGUUUAUAAUCUCAUGGGCCAUGGAGAAUUCUGUGCUCUAAGCAUCUGGGAAAUGAGAUAAUCAAAGCAUAUAAAUAAUACCAGUCAACUUUUUUAAAAAACGGUCAGUAUUUUUAAACACAUAUUAAAAUCUUCUUGAGCCCUUUGCACAUAUUAACUAAUUUAAACCUCACAACAACCCUAUGAAAUACAUAACCAAUAUUAUCACUUCCCUUUAUAGGAGCACAGAAAGGUUAAGCACCUUGUUCAAGGUCACACAGUUUGUAAGGCUCAAAAGCAGGAUUUGAACGCAGGCCAUCUGGUACUAACGUCACUCCUCUUAACCACCAUACCUGACUGCAAAGCAGUCUCUAAAAUUAACGAAGUGUGAUAUGGUUUGGAUGCUUUGUUUCCUCCAAAUCUCAUGCUGAAAUGUGACCUCCCAUGGUGGUGGAGGUGGGGCCCGGUGGUAAGGACAGACCUCCCAUGAAUGGCCUGGUGCCCUCCUCGUGGUAAUGAGUUCUUGCUCUGCGGUCACAGGCAAUCUGGUUGUUUCAAAGAGUGUGGCACCUUCCUAGCCCUCUCUCAUCAUAGGAGGUACUGGCUCCCUCUUCACCUUCCUCCAUAAUCGAAAGCUUCCUGAGGCCUCACCAGCAGCAGAUCCCAGCACUAUGCUUCGCGUACGAACUGCAGAACUAAGUUUGGCAACUCUUGGGAUGGUAAAAGAGGAUAGCAGAAAGAAAACUGGGUUGGAAUCCUAACUCUAUGAUUGAAGAAGGGGAGCUGGGACCUUGAACCUCAUAAGGGCAUGAGGAAUGCUGAGAGUCAGCCUCUUGGGGAAGUUCUCAAAACUUCAACUCAAUUUGUGUAGUAGUUGUGCACAAUUCAGUUUAAGGAUUCUGCCCAUCACGUGAAGGACCUCUUCAAGGAGAACUACAAAGCACUGCUCAACGAAAUAAAAGAGGAUACAAACAAAUGGAAGAACAUUCCCUGCUCCUGGGUAGGAAGAAUCAGUAUCGUGAAAAUGGCCAUACUGCCCAAGGUAAUUUAUAGAUUCAGUGCCAUCCCCAUCAAGCUACCAAUGACUUUCUUCACAGAACCAAAAAAGAGGCUGCAUUGCCAAGUCAAUCCUAAGCUGAAAGAACAAAGCUGGAGGCAUC
RNAcentral lists this long non-coding RNA (4141 nucleotides) under Homo sapiens (human). Its description in RNAcentral is "HSALNT0185713". Lineage: Eukaryota; Metazoa; Chordata; Mammalia; Primates; Hominidae. The record is from RNAcentral.